Lathyrus oleraceus (garden pea) is the source of this 832-nucleotide long non-coding RNA. RefSeq lists it as uncharacterized. NCBI's taxonomy places the organism in Eukaryota, Viridiplantae, Streptophyta, Magnoliopsida, Fabales, Fabaceae. The record is from RefSeq and is a predicted model, not a curated record. The transcript is spliced from 2 exons.
GUGGAAGGGGGGAUAGAUAGCGGUUCGCUUGGGCCUCGGGCCCAAACCCGGAUCCAAGCAUCACUUGAGACUUCAACUUGAAAGACUAAAAGAACCUGCAAUGUUUCUCACAAGCCAUGGCGUAGAAGGUUUUGUGUUUCUGAAUCUCACUCACCGCGUAUCGCACUUUUGCACUAUUCUUCCUCUUGUAACCACAUGUCCAAAGAAUCAAAAGAAGCAUGAAGAAGGAAAAACGCUUAUGUGAAUAAGUUGCAACGACAAUGCAAUUAACUGCUUCAUCUUUGCAUGUUCGAGUAUGGAUUGCAUUCGUCAACAACAUUGCGUCUCCAUGAUCAUCUCAAAUCGACAGUUCAAGCUUCCGAAUUCAAGACAACAGCUAUCGAAAAUGCAACAGCGUCGACGCGGAACCGAUAUAAAUUGCAGGUUGAAACAAGCAGAAUGAAGACUUACCGGUUUCAACAAUAGGUUGAUUCUGUUAUGGGGGUUAUUGCAGAAUUGUGAUUUUUCCAAGAGGAAGAAGAAGAUGGUGAUGUGAGAGUGGUGAUGAAUUGUGUAAGUUCCGGAUUGGAUUAUUUAAGAUUGAAGGUGAAAUUGGAUUGAAGUUCGAUGAUGGUUGAGUGUGAGUUCUGAAAAUGAAAAAAUCCUCCAAGAGUGAAUCACAGUGUUAGCUUAUAUACACUUUCAGUCCGUUAAAUUGGUUACCUUCCGUUAAUCCACCUCUGUGUAAAUCUGUUAGGAGCUAUAACACAGUUAGUUAAAGUUUGUUAGUUUGUUAGAAAAGUUAUGAAAUUAGUGACUGAAAUUGGUUCUGCAGAAGGAUGUUUUGUCGUUU